AGGGGCGGCUGCAACUGGCGCGGAUGGAAAACCAUCGGGGAGCAGCGGACCACCGAUACGUGAGCGUCGCCCGCCUGGGCGCUCACC
Molecule: non-coding RNA, 87 nt
Filed under: Buchananella hordeovulneris
Lineage: Bacteria; Bacillati; Actinomycetota; Actinomycetes; Actinomycetales; Actinomycetaceae
Description: Actinomyces hordeovulneris ZTP sequence
Rfam family: ZMP/ZTP riboswitch aptamer (pfl RNA motif)
About the family: Previously known as pfl RNA. ZMP is also known as AICAR.
Source: Rfam by way of RNAcentral